ACCAGGUAUGGUGGCACACACCUGUAAUCCCAGCAACUCAGGAGGUUGAGUUAGGAGGAUUUCUAGUUCAAGGCCAACCUGAGCAACUUGAGCAACUUAGCAAGCUCCUGUCUAAA
RNAcentral lists this small RNA (116 nucleotides) under Marmota monax (woodchuck). Lineage: Eukaryota; Metazoa; Chordata; Mammalia; Rodentia; Sciuridae. The record is from RNAcentral.